Molecule: ribosomal RNA, 274 nt
Filed under: uncultured bacterium
Lineage: Bacteria
Description: partial 16S ribosomal RNA
Rfam family: Bacterial small subunit ribosomal RNA
Source: RNAcentral
CUACGGAGGGUGCAAGCGUUACUCGGAAUCACUGGGCGUAAAGCGCGCGCAGGCGGUCUUUUAAGUUGGAUGUGAAAGCCUAUGGCUCAACCGUAGAACUGCAUCCGAAACUAUUAGACUAGAGUGUGGGAGAGGAAGAUGGAAUUAGUUGUGUAGGGGUAAAAUCCGUAGAGAUAACUAGGAAUACCAAAAGCGAAGGCAAUCUUCUGGAACACUACUGACGCUGAGGCGCGAAAGCGUGGGGAGCAAACAGGAUUAGAAACCCUAGUAGUCC